RNAcentral lists this ribosomal RNA (245 nucleotides) under uncultured bacterium. RNAcentral's name for it is "partial 16S ribosomal RNA". It matches the Rfam family "Bacterial small subunit ribosomal RNA", at positions 15 to 239 of the family's 1533-position model. The record is from RNAcentral.
GAUCAUGGGCUCAGGACGGACGCUGGCGGCGUGCCUAACACAUGCAAGUCGAACGGAACUGUUUUGAAAGAUUUCUUCGGAAUGAAUUUGAUUUAGUUUAGUGGCGGACGGGUGAGUAACGCGUGAGUAACCUGCCUUCAAGAGGGGGAUAACAUUCUGAAAAGAAUGCUAAUACCGCAUGAUAUAUCGGAACCACAUGGUUUUGAUAUCAAAGAUUUUAUCGCUUGAAGAUGGACUCGCGUCCG